RNAcentral lists this ribosomal RNA (253 nucleotides) under uncultured bacterium. RNAcentral's name for it is "partial 16S ribosomal RNA". It matches the Rfam family "Archaeal small subunit ribosomal RNA", at positions 474 to 727 of the family's 1478-position model. The record is from RNAcentral.
UACCAGCACCCCGAGUGGUCGGGACGAUUAUUGGGCCUAAAGCAUCCGUAGCCGGUCCUACAAGUCUUCCGUUAAAUCCACCUGCUCAACAGAUGGGCUGCGGAAGAUACUAUGGAGCUAGGAGGCGGGAGAGGCAAGCGGUACUCGAUGGGUAGGGGUAAAAUCCGUUGAUCCAUUGAAGACCACCAGUGGCGAAGGCGGCUUGCCAGAACGCGCUCGACGGUGAGGGAUGAAAGCUGGGGGAGCAAACCGG